CUACAAAUAGCAAUCGGCACGGUGUUAGGUGUUGGUAUGGACAUAAAGAGGACUAAUUAAUAUAACGGGAUUUUAUUGGGGCUUGAUGUUGCUUACUCCUGUUAAUCGCGUAUGGAUGAUCAGACUAUGGUUGCGGUGUGUCAUACGACGAAGUUUGUACGUGUGCAUUAGAGGAGAGAUGGACAUGUGACUGGGGAGCAUCAUGAGGACGUAAGGGACCAGUAAAGGUUUUAUAUGAAACCAGACUAUGAAAGAGUUAAACUUGUGUUGUUAUUAGAAUUAUUUGUAUGAGUUGGUGUAAUUUUGUUGUCUCGUUUCUAUUUUUGUGUUCAAUUACUCAUAGAUUUUUAAUGUAUUUGGUCGUUCAAAAAAAUAAGGUUUAAGACGCUUUUUUUCGAUUGGAAUUAAUCCUUAAUGUUGUUACAGUAUCUAUGGAUUCUUAAAUCUAUAGGUGUUCUGUUCCAAUUUUCAACUUCAAUAGGUAGCCUGUGGUUUCUGGUCCUGUUUUAUUUUACAAAUUUUAGAAAUGCAUGUGUUGUGUUUACUAAAUAUGAUUCAAAGCCGGAAUUUUCUUUUAAUCAGUUUUAAGAAAGUACAUGUAUUAUUACUACAGUUUUAAAUUGAUGAUCACCAUUCAUUUAUAAACAGGUCUUUACAAUUUUUUUAACAUAUGUUUUAAGCCAGUCAAAUCUAGGGUAACCUUGUGAGCUCAGCACAUGCAUAAUUCCACAUGUUGUUUAAAUAAAUUUUACAUUGAAAACCAGGGAUAAAGUCUAAUCGUCAAGAUGUUUGCAUCUUUUGAACAGUGACAUAUAAAUUGUUGUGGAUAGUUUUUCUUCCUAAAUGACAACUCGUGCGAUAAUGGUUAAAGGUGAUGUCCAUUAGUCUCUGUAAAAUCCGAUUGCAUACAGCUAAACAUAAACUGAUGACAUUGCAAAAUUGAUAUUAACACUGUCUAUACAAAUAUAGAUAGCACUGCCAAGUGUUAUUUGUAUUGUCGUGUGUUAGUGCCGAUUUCAGAUAACGUAUGCGCAUUUGUAACUGUUCACAUAUUGCUCAUGCGCAAACAACAUGAUCUUUUCAUGAAAAUUGGAUGAAAAGGACAUUGUUGAGCACGUUUUAACUUUUUUGAAUUUCUUGUAAAAACAAAUGAAAAGUCACGGAUUUAGUAUAUUUCAAACUAAGUACUAAAAAACGUG
Molecule: long non-coding RNA, 1199 nt
Organism: Dreissena polymorpha
Lineage: Eukaryota; Metazoa; Mollusca; Bivalvia; Myida; Dreissenidae
Exons: 3
Source: RefSeq, a predicted model, not a curated record